RNAcentral lists this ribosomal RNA (1098 nucleotides) under Triticum aestivum (bread wheat). Its description in RNAcentral is "partial small subunit ribosomal RNA". Lineage: Eukaryota; Viridiplantae; Streptophyta; Magnoliopsida; Poales; Poaceae. The record is from RNAcentral.
AUGGCGGCGAUAUCCAAGGUGCUCGAGGACGAUGACCUCCUCAGUGAGAUCCUCCUCCGCACCGUCUUCACCACCACCCUUCUCAACUCCGCCCUCGUAUGCACACGCUGGCUCGCCCAUGCUUCCAACCGCGCCUUCCUCCAUCGAUUUCGUGAGAUCCACCCGCCCCGCCUUCUUGGCUUCUACAUCAACAAAGGUCAGAACACCCCGCACUUCAUCCCAAUAUUGCCUCAGCCCCGUGAACUCACUGCUGUCAUCCGUCACGCAGCCUCUAGCUUGGGCACCUAUCAAAGAGUACCGUCGGUACCAACCUACAUCCUUGGUUGCCGGAAUGGCAACGUCCUCAUUAGGCAGCAUGAUAAAAUUGGAACCACGUUUGCGGUACACAACAUGGUGUGUCCUGAGAGAGGCAUGGACAUCCUCCCACCGUUUCCACGCCCCCAAUCUCCGUACUUAUUUGACGGUACUGCUUACUCUAGAAUCAUGUCCAAAGAAGAGGGUGAUGCCUUGUCUUACUUCUUGAUCAUACAGCAGCCCCCUCGUCCAUGGUCAGUACUUAAAUCUGUGUUGUCCAACAAUAAAAUCUAUGUGCCAGCUGGCUGGAGCAACAUUAUUGUCUUGGAUUUGGCGGCCUCAAGUUUCUCCAUAAUUGAGCUCCCAGAAGGGAUGGAGUAUGGUGAGAGAAACACCAUAUUGUCACAGGCCGAUGAUGUUGCUGGUGUAUAUCUUAUCCAUGUCAAGAAGUUUCAACUUCGCAUCUGGCUCCACAAUGGGUACACAUGGUUACUGAUGGACACCAUUUAUUUGCGUGAGAUGUUUGCUGAUUUUAGUGUGUCAGAUAGCAAUGCUUCUCUCCUGAUAAACCAGGCAGGAGACAAUGCUGAGUUUGUGUUCUUGGACAUGGGUCGAUGCACAUUCCUCUUGGACAUCAAGCGUAGAACAAUGCAUAAGGUGUAUGAGAAGGAAGACGGUGAUAAAUUUUUCUGUGAAAUCCAUCCUCUUAUGAUGAUCUGGCCUCCCGUAUUUCCUGCACACAAGGGUGAUCCUACAAGAAAUGGCAUGCUCAGGCUGAAGAUCAAGGAUAUGGAUGGACACUAG